UUUAAUGUUUGAUGUUCUAACGUGGACCCGUUAUCCGGGUUGCGGACAGUGUCUGGUGGGUAGUUUGACUGGGGCGGUCUCCUCCUAAAGAGUAACGGAGGAGCACGAAGGUUGGCUAAUCCUGGUCGGACAUCAGGAGGUUAGUGCAAUGGCAUAAGCCAGCUUGACUGCGAGCGUGACGGCGCGAGCAGGUGCGAAAGCAGGUCAUAGUGAUCCGGUGGUUCUGAAUGGAAGGGCCAUCGCUCAACGGAUAAAAGGUACUCCGGGGAUAACAGGCUGAUACCGCCCAAGAGUUCAUAUCGACGGCGGUGUUUGGCACCUCGAUGUCGGCUCAUCACAUCCUGGGGCUGAAGUAGGUCCCAAGGGUAUGGCUGUUCGCCAUUUAAAGUGGUACGCGAGCUGGGUUUAGAACGUCGUGAGACAGUUCGGUCCCUAUCUGCCGUGGGCGCUGGAGAACUGAGGGGGGCUGCUCCUAGUACGAGAGGACCGGAGUGGACGCAUCACUGGUGUUCGGGUUGUCAUGCCAAUGGCACUGCCCGGUAGCUAAAUGCGGAAGAGAUAAGUGCUGAAAGCAUCUAAGCACGAAACUUGCCCCGAGAUGAGUUCUCCCUGAGACUUUAGGUCUCCUGAAGGAACGUUGAAGACGACGACGUUGAUAGGCCGGGUGUGUAAGCGCAGCGAUGCGUUGAGCUAACCGGUACUAAUGAACCGUGAGGCUUAACCUUACAACGCCGAAG
This 737-nucleotide ribosomal RNA is filed under the name Salmonella enterica. RNAcentral describes it as "partial 23S ribosomal RNA". It matches the Rfam family "Bacterial large subunit ribosomal RNA", at positions 2206 to 2925 of the family's 2925-position model. The record is from RNAcentral. Lineage: Bacteria; Pseudomonadati; Pseudomonadota; Gammaproteobacteria; Enterobacterales; Enterobacteriaceae.